Molecule: ribosomal RNA, 1153 nt
Filed under: Halomonas sp.
Lineage: Bacteria; Pseudomonadati; Pseudomonadota; Gammaproteobacteria; Oceanospirillales; Halomonadaceae
Description: bacterial SSU rRNA
Rfam family: Bacterial small subunit ribosomal RNA
Source: RNAcentral
GCCCUACCCACACGCAGCCUGAUCAGCCAUGCCGCGUGUGUGAAGAAGGCCUUCGGGUUGUAAAGCACUUUCAGCGAGGAAGAACGCCUUGGGAUUAAUACUCCCGAGGAAAGACAUCACUCGCAGAAGAAGCACCGGCUAACUCCGUGCCAGCAGCCGCGGUAAUACGGAGGGUGCAAGCGUUAAUCGGAAUUACUGGGCGUAAAGCGCGCGUAGGUGGCUAAGUCAGCCAGGUGUGAAAGCCCCGGGCUCAACCUGGGAACGGCAUCUGGAACUGGUUGGCUAGAGUGCAGGAGAAGCAAGGUAGAAUUCCCGGUGGAUAGCGGUGAAUGCGUAGAGAUCGGGAGGAAUACCAGUGGCGAAGGCGGCUUUCUGGACUGACACUGACACUGAGGUGCGAAAGCGUGGGUAGCAAACAGGAUUAGAUACCCUGGUAGUCCACGCCGUAAAACGAUGUCAACUAGCCGUUGGGUCCCUUGAGGACUUAGUGGCGCAGCUAACGCAAUAAGUUGACCGCCUGGGGAGUACGGCCGCAAGGUUAAAACUCAAAUGAAUUGACGGGGGCCCGCACAAGCGGUGGAGCAUGUGGUUUAAUUCGAUGCAACGCGAAGAACCUUACCUACCCUUGACAUCCAGAGGACUUUCCAGAGAUGGAUUGGUGCCUUCGGGAACUCUGAGACAGGUGCUGCAUGGCUGUCGUCAGCUCGUGUUGUGAAAUGUUGGGUUAAGUCCCGUAACGAGCGCAACCCCUAUCCUUAUUUGCCAGCGAGUAAUGUCGGGAACUCUAAGGAGACUGCCGGUGACAAACCGGAGGAAGGUGGGGACGACGUCAAGUCAUCAUGGCCCUUACGGGUAGGGCUACACACGUGCUACAAUGGCAAGUACAAAGGGUUGCAAUACUGCGAAGUGGAGCCAAUCCCAUAAAGCUUGCCUCAGUCCGGAUUGGAGUCUGCAACUCGACUCCAUGAAGUCGGAAUCGCUAGUAAUCGUGGAUCAGAAUGCCACGGUGAAUACGUUCCCGGGCCUUGUACACACCGCCCGUCACACCAUGGGAGUGGACUGCACCAGAAGUGGUUAGCCUAACCUUCGGGAGGGCGAUCACCACGGUGUGGUUCAUGACUGGGGUGAAGUCGUAACAAGUAGCCUAAUGCCU